Molecule: small RNA, 520 nt
Filed under: uncultured Glomus
Lineage: Eukaryota; Fungi; Glomeromycota; Glomeromycetes; Glomerales; Glomeraceae
Description: SSU rRNA
Rfam family: Eukaryotic small subunit ribosomal RNA
Source: RNAcentral
AGCAGCCGCGGUAAUUCCAGCUCCAAUAGCGUAUAUUAAAGUUGUUGCAGUUAAAAAGCUCGUAGUUGAAUUUCGGGAUCAAUAUGUUGGUCGUGCCUUGGUACGUACUGGCAUUAUUGGUUCCUACCUUCUGAAGAACCUCGAUGUCAUUAAUUUGGUGUCUUGGGGAAUCAGGACUGUUACUUUGAAAAAAUUAGAGUGUUUAAAGCAGGCUCGCGCUUGAAUACAUUAGCAUGGAAUAAUGAAAUAGGACGUUUGAUUCUAUUUUGUUGGUUUCUAGGAUCGACGUAAUGAUUAAUAGGGAUAGUUGGGGGCAUUAGUAUUCAAUUGUCAGAGGUGAAAUUCUUGGAUUUAUUGAAGACUGACUACUGCGAAAGCAUUUGCCAAGGAUGUUUUCAUUAAUCAAGAACGAAAGUUAGGGGAUCGAAGACGAUCAGAUACCGUCGUAGUCUUAACCAUAAACUAUGCCGACUAGGGAUCGGAUGAUGUUAAUUUUUUAAUGACUCAUUCGGCGCCUUAC